Molecule: ribosomal RNA, 850 nt
Filed under: Poseidonibacter lekithochrous
Lineage: Bacteria; Pseudomonadati; Campylobacterota; Epsilonproteobacteria; Campylobacterales; Arcobacteraceae
Description: bacterial SSU rRNA
Rfam family: Bacterial small subunit ribosomal RNA
Source: RNAcentral
GCAGUCGAACGAGAACGGGUUAUAGCUUGCUAUAACUGUCAGCUAAGUGGCGCACGGGUGAGUAAUAUAUAGUUAACCUGCCCUAGAGAAGGGGAUAACGUUUGGAAACGAACGCUAAUACCCUAUAUGCCUUUAAGACAUAAGUCUGCAAGGGAAAUAUUUAUAGCUCUAGGAUGGGACUGUACGGUAUCAGCUAGUUGGUGAGGUAAUGGCUCACCAAGGCAAUGACGCCUAACUGGUUUGAGAGGAUGAUCAGUCACACUGGAACUGAGACACGGUCCAGACUCCUACGGGAGGCAGCAGUGGGGAAUAUUGCACAAUGGAGGAAACUCUGAUGCAGCAACGCCGCGUGGAGGAUGACACUUUUCGGAGCGUAAACUCCUUUUAUAUAGGAAGAUAAUGACGGUACUAUAUGAAUAAGCACCGGCUAACUCCGUGCCAGCAGCCGCGGUAAUACGGAGGGUGCAAGCGUUACUCGGAAUCACUGGGCGUAAAGAGCGUGUAGGCGGGUUAAUAAGUUGGAAGUGAAAUCCUAUGGCUCAACCAUAGAACUGCUUUCAAAACUGUUAACCUAGAAUAUGGGAGAGGUAGAUGGAAUUUCUGGUGUAGGGGUAAAAUCCGUAGAGAUCAGAAGGAAUACCGAUUGCGAAGGCGAUCUACUGGAACAUUAUUGACGCUGAGACGCGAAAGCGUGGGGAGCAAACAGGAUUAGAUACCCUGGUAGUCCACGCCCUAAACGAUGUACACUAGUUGUUGCAAUGCUAGACAUUGCAGUAAUGCAGUUAACACAUUAAGUGUACCGCCUGGGGGAGUACGGUCGCAAGAUUAAAACUCAAAGGAAUAGACGGGG